This 1249-nucleotide long non-coding RNA is filed under the name Equus caballus (horse). RNAcentral describes it as "lncRNA (ENSECAG00000054596.1)". The record is from RNAcentral. Lineage: Eukaryota; Metazoa; Chordata; Mammalia; Perissodactyla; Equidae.
UCAGAGUGGAGGAGAAUGCCUUCAAGUCCGGCACCCCCAUAAAGGAGUCUCAGUAGAUGCACCUGAGAAAGGCCUUAGCUGAAAGCCUUUGGAAAAAUGACCUCUGAAUUGAGGCACCUGAGCAAGGCAGUGUAUAUUGCAGAAGAGCAUAGCGGGCCAGUGUGGCCUGAGUCCCUGACUGCAACUCCGUCCUGAGACGGCAGCGUGUUGGCUGUGCCCCAGCUCAGUGUAGCGAGGACAGCUUUCUGCUCCUGAGGCCUGCUAGGUUUUACUUAGGAUCACCUGGCCUUUCAAUGUCCUAAAGCAAGGAUGAUUUUGCAGCCACUUGGCAAACAAAUGGAAGAAAAAUAGGUAAAGUCCGAGAGUAAAAGCACUUGCAUGGCCUUUUAAAUGGAAAAAGAAGGGAGCAAGAACAGAAAUCUCAUGAUCUUAGCUGCAACCCUGGAAGAGCAAAAUGGUGAAGCAGGUCCUUCUAGUUGUGGGAUGUGAGAUGCUGCCUCAACGAGGCGUGAUGAGCGGUGCCAUGUCUGUGCCCAGGAUCCGAACCCUGGGCCGCCGCAGUGGAGCUUGCGAACUUAACCACUCAGCUAUGGAGCCGGCCCCACUAGCAAAGAUUUCGAUACUUUCUUUUAUUUCUAUUAACAUAUUCAGCAUAGUUAUUUUAAAGUCUCUGUGUGAUAACCUUUUAUCUCAUGAUCUUGAUGAUGUUUUUGUGUUUUCUGAGAUUUUGGUCUCAUCUCUUAUCCUUAUAUCCUUAUCCUUAUAUGUCUGACGAUUUUUGUCUGAGUGAUGAACUUUGCAUUUUUAAAAUGUAGGAGAAAAAAAGCCUGGAAGCGAAGUAAUGUUAUCUUCCUUCAGAGAACAUUUAUAUUUGCUUCUGAAAGAUGACUGACACCAGCCAUUUGGAUUACAUAAAUCUACCCUUAGGGACUAAGGUGAUGCAAAGCUUUGCUUCAGUCCUCAAGCAUAGUUCUAUUUGUGUCUCUUCCUUAAUCCUAUAAUGUAUUCAUUUGUGGUCCCUGCCCAAUGUGCUCGGGAUUUCCCAUGGCACUCUCCUAUGAAUAACCUUCAACUCUAAUUUUUGUCUUGUUAGACAUACAAGACAAUUAAAAUUUCUCUCCUUCUUGGGUUCACAGGUGCUUUUCUGGAAUGCACAGAUACCUUAGGGGCAAUGUGGUCCUAAAUGCUGAGCAAAGUUUCUUUGUGUCCUUCUCUUAUAUCUCAAGUCCUAUAUUUUUUCACUGCCUUC